RNAcentral lists this long non-coding RNA (6632 nucleotides) under Capsicum annuum. RNAcentral's name for it is "long non-coding RNA (CANN_LNC018393)". Lineage: Eukaryota; Viridiplantae; Streptophyta; Magnoliopsida; Solanales; Solanaceae. The record is from RNAcentral.
GUCUUCCAAAAUUCUCUUUUUUAAUAUUUUCUUUCACCUUUCUAGCUUCUUCUUCUUAGUUAAAUCUUUCGAUCUUAAUUAACGAUUUUGGACUAGCAGAAGGUCUCUCCUGCUACACCUUCCAAAGUUCUCUCUUUUAAUAUUUUCUUUCACCUUUCUAGCUUCUUUUUCUUAGUUAAAUCUUUCGAUCUUAGUUAACGACCUUGAGCUAGCAGAAGGUCUCUCCUGCUACACCUUUCUUCUGCUAUUCUCUACAGUCACUACUAUUAAAUUAUUUGUGCCUUAAAUUUCCAUUAAUAAACAAAACAUCAAAAGUCACAAUUAUUAAAUUGUCUACACUAAAUAUUUCUAUUACAAUUCUAAUACAACUUGGCGGCUUCUUAAACUUGUUCAUAUGCAAAAUUUAACACGGAACAUGAGAAAAGGAGCUUAGCAGGAAGGACAUUCACAUCAUUUGGUCAACUGUUUGAUAGGCAAUGUGUAUGUUUUCUUUUUCCUUCUGUUCAAAUUUCCAAGGCGGCUCUACCCUUAAGGGCCGUUUGAUUUGCAAAUAAUUUUGGGAUAAAAUUUUUUACUCAUCAUUUGGUUGUAAAUAUUUGGGAUAGCUCUCGAGACUAAUAAUUAAUUCUGAGAUAAGUUAUCCACUCAAAUGGUGGGAUAACAAUCCCGAAAUUAUUUUUCUUUGGUAUAAAAUUAUACAAGGACAAAAAUACCCUCUUGGAAUUGUUAUAUAUAAUUAAAUUAUAUAUAAUUAAACAUAAUUAACAUAAUUUAACAUAAUAUAUUAUAAUUAAAUAUAUUAACAUAAUAUAUAUAUAGAAUAUAUUAUGAAUAUAUAUACGUUAAUUAUGUUUAAUUAUAUAUAUAUAUAUUAUGUUAAUAUAUUUAAUUAUAUUAUAUUAUGUUAAUUAUGUUUAAUUAUAUAUAAUUUAAUUAUAUAUAACAUAAUAUAUAACGUAAUAUAUUCUCACACACACAUAAAUUAUGUUUAAUUAACCUAUAAUAUAUUCAUAAAUAAAUAAAUUUUGAACAGUUUACCGUUCAAAAUGGUUGUAAAAUAUAUAAAUUAUGUUUAUUUAUAUAUUUUAAUUUCUCGAAAAAAUAAUAAAAAAAUUUUAAGAAUGAAUAUUUAAAGCUUAAAAAUAAAUAUAUAUAUAAAAAAAGUUAAAUAAGAUAGAUGGUAUUUUGGUAAUCAAUCAAUUUAUUCCUAGAAAUUAUACAAUGCAUAUUACUUUGAAUACAACAAACCAAACACUCAAUAAAAAAUAAUCCCAGCAUAACUAAUCUCAGUAUAACUUAUCUCAUCACAACUUAUCCCAGUAUAACUUAUUUUCAAACCAAACGACCCCUUAUAGAAUAAAGGCGACUGUCUUAGACCCCGAAUUUGAGGGGCCUCAUUUUUUUUUUUAUUAAUAAUAGAUUAUAGAUUUUUUUAAAAAAUUUAAAUAUUAUUUAUAAAAAAAAUAAUUUUUUAUAUAUAAAAAAAUAAUUCAAUAAGUUUGAUUUAUCUGGUAGGCGGUCAAAGUUACCUAAUUUUUGGAUAAAGAGUACCGUUAUAGACUGGUCUGCUUGUCCAUAUUUUUAAGUUUGACCAAUUUCAACUACGUGCAUAGCACAUGUAUUUAUUAAAAAAAAAAAAGUGUAAGCAAGACAACUCAAGCAUAUUGAUGGUAUAAGGUAAAAAUUAAAUUGAGGUUUUAAAUUUUUAAAAAAGUAAUUUUUUUUAUUAAUUAUAUUUUCUAAAUUAUAUAAUUAAUUUUUUUAAAUUUUUCUUUUUUUUUUAAGUAAUAAUAUAGUAGAGCCGCCCUGUUUUUAAGAUGGUCAAGUUUUCUUAUAAGUGACUCAUCUAUGUAUAUUGUAAACAUUUAAAGAAGAGGUGACUCAUCUAAAAUGAGUGGACUGUAUAUAGUAUGAGAACUGAUUUUUGUACUUCAAAGUAAAUAAUUAAGCUUUUAAUUAAAUGCACCAUCAAGCCUUUUUGUUGCAUGAAUUUCAAAAGAUGAUAUUAGAUUAAUUUAAAAAAUAUGUAUAUAAAAUAUUUAGUUUUGUCGAAAAAGCAUAAAUUCACAUGCCUCAAAAAUUACAAAUAAAUUCACUUUUGACUUAAAGUAUUUAUAAGUAAGAAGCUUUAGGUUGAAAAAAUAAAUCAUGUAUGAGCAAAAAUAUGCGAAUAUUUUUGUUAGAUGGUUUCCGAAUUUUCUUUUUCGUUAAUAUAUAUAUGGAUGGGUGUUUACUUUUUUUUUUUUUUUGAGAAUUUGAUUUAUACGAUUAACUGUGCGACACUUUGUGCAUUCAAGAUUAUCUAUUAUUUUAUAUCGAAAGCUUAUGAACUCAAUAACUGUCUUUUGUCUUGAGCCGAGGAUCUGUCGGAAACAGUCUCUCGACCUCUUUAGAGGUAGUGAUAUGGACUGCGUAUACUCUACCCUCCCCAGACCUCAUUAUGUGGGAAGAUACUGGGUUUGUUGUUGUUAUUGUUGUUGAAAACUUAUGAAUUUAAAUUUGAGAUUUUUAUUGUAACAUCCGAUAUAUGCGGAAAAAUUCAAUCUAAAUUAGAAUUUGAUUUAAAUAAAUAUUUUAUUUCCAAAAUCCCUUAAAUAAUUAUGAGAAAAAAAAAUGAUUAUGAUACGUGACACCUCCACUUCCAUGUUGAAGUAGAGGGAUGGAUUGUGCAGCAUAUAUCAAUAAUGGGGUAGUUAUUACCUAGCACUUUUAAAGUAAUUAAUUAAAAUAUAAUAGACAUCAUUAAUAUACGUCGGCCAAACAAACCCUUAUUUUAUAUAUUCUUUCUGUUUUAUUUUAUUUGACAUCUAAAUUAAAAAUAAAUAUUUUAAUUUACUUGUUUAUUUUCAUAAAUCAAUAGAUUAAGUGUAUAAAUGAAUUUUUUGAGCAAAUUUAAGGGGUCGUAUAUGUGUUUGGCCUAUUAAAUAACUACAUAAAGUAAUAAUAGUAUAAGUGUUCUAAAUAUUAUUAAUAAGGUUAAUUUAAUAUUUCUUACAAAAUAUACUAAAUUAAUAACGAUCAAAUAAUAUAAAAUAAAAACAGUUAAAAUAUAAAGUUUGAUGUCAAAAAAGGGUCAACUAAUAUAAAAUAAAAACAGUUUAAAUAUAAAGUUUAGUAUCUAAAAAACAAAAUUUAAAACUUACGAGUCAAAAUGAGAACUCCAACCAACCAAAACGGACUCUCCUUAAAACUUACCUACCAAAAGACACAAUUUGUCUGAAAAUAGGCGAAUUGUAGGACUCCCGUUAAAGUCAAAAUUAUUUUUAUCUACAUAUAAAAUUAUUUAGGUACAUUCAAAUUUUAGGAGGGUUUUAUUAUUUUUGGACUAACUAAAAUUAUAUUUUUGACAAUCUUAGUGCUACAUGGUACAUACAUGACGCAUACGUGUGCCUACGUGGACCUUCAGUGUGUUGAUUCACUGAUGUGCCACGUAUAUGCCACGUAGGUACUAAGGUUGUCAAAAAUACAGUUUUAACUAGUCCAAGGGAUAAUAGGAUCCUCCUAAAGUCGAGUGCGUCAGCAAUUUCUUUUAUAGUUCAUGGUGAAAACAAUACAUUUACUCUUUUUUUAAUUACUAGUUUAUUGUACGCGCUUUGCGCGUGUAUUUAAUAUUGAAGAAGAAAAUUACAUAUAUUUGUCUGUGCAAUAUUUAAAUCUUUAGUUAAAAAUAAUGUGACAUCGUCAGCGAAAAACAUAAUUCAAUGUUUAAUAUAGUAUCAAAACUGCAAAAUGUUCCAGUUAAAAAGUUACAUUAUCUGCAACAUUAUAUUCAAUUAAAUCACAAAUAUAUGUACAUUUAAAUAGAUGCAAUGUUAAUAUCUUUAAUUUUGAACAUAAUAAAAACAUCAACGAUUACUCAAUGUAAUUUUAACAAUGAAGUUUAGAGAGAGUGGAUUUAAGCAUAUCUCAUCCUUAUAUUGUGAGUUAGAGAAGUUAUUUAUGAUAGACAAUAAAAUCUCAUUUUAUAGCAGACUUUCCAUUGACUUUUACAGCAGAAUCAAAUAAUUUUUCGUAAUCUUCUUCAUAAUUGAUGAGAAGUUCCUUCUUAUAACCAUUAUUCUCCCUGUUUUCUCCUGAAACUAGCUAUACUAUUACUAUUACACAUUAAAUAUACGUCAAUUUGAGGUAAAUACUAGAACAUGUUCAAUAAAAUAAACAAAAGAUCAAAUGUCAAACUAUGUUUGCUAACGAUUGUUGGUUAUAAAAGGACAAUCAAGAAAAGCACUUUGUUUGAAGUGAAGAAACCUGGGAUGGUUAAGAGGACAAUGAAUUUGGUGUGAGAGACACCAUGCAUUCGUUUGUGAGAACUUGUUUAGCGUUUGUUUAAGGUGUCUGUAUUUGUAGGAUUUUUUUUGAACUCUUUAAUUAAUACUAUGUGUAGCGUUUGUUUAAGUUAUCUGUAUUUGUAGGGUUUUUGGGACACUUUAAUUAUUACUAUAUUUUUUAGAAUUCCUGUUUCGCACAAACAAGGAAAAGAAGAUGUACAGACAUUAAUUGUCAUAUAUUAUUAAUUUAAUAUUUUAAUUAAAAAUGUCCUAAAAUAAUUUCAUUGGUUAUAUUUUGUUAAAAUUGUAUACUCCUGCCCCUAAAAAAUUGUUUGCACGUUUUUUCUUCAACGAAACCUGUAGACAUUUAAUUUCUUCUUUUGCAUAUAUUCUUGGUAAUUUUUUAUGGUUUACUAUAUAUUUUAAGAGUUCUUAUUAUUUGGGUUUUAAUUUUAGAAUUCUUAAAUUAAUGAAAAAGAUAUUAGUUGUCAUUAAUUCUAAUGACUUCUAAUAAGAAAAUGUUUUACAAUAAAUAUUUAGUUAAUUUUCAACUCUUAAAUAAUAGAAAAAUAAUGAAAAGACGAUUUUGUCUAAAGCAGAUACUUUUAAUGAAAGGCAGAAAGUUCAAUUCAUUUUUCUAAGGGUCUUCACAUUUUUAAUAUAUUAUAGAUAUAGAUAUAGAUUAUAGAUUAUACAUAUAGAUAUAGAUUAUAGAUAAUUUAUUAGAUAAUAAAAAAAUAGUUUUUGAAGGUUCGCCCCUAAAAUAAUUUUCCUUUUCUAUCUGAAUAAUAACAAAAUAUUCAGACAGAAAUUUAAAAAGGAUAAAGUAUAUAUGAACCAUACCAUCAUACCAAUAAUAGAAGCAAUAUGUAGUAAACUAUUUACAGAAGAAUUAUGAAAAUACAUAAAAUAUUUGUCUUUUAGUUGUAGAGUAGAGAGUUUAGUGAUGAAUUGCAUGGAUGCAUGUCUCAUGCUUGUUCCUACUUCCUAUUAGUAGUUUCAUCUCAACAAAGUGGAAAUGUAGUUCGUCAGUUUUUGGGCGACCCCACUAAAAUAGUUUUUUUUAAUCUAGUAAAAAAUAAAAAUAUAUAUAUACACAGAGGCGGAGCCAGCCCUCUUUAGGGGUUUAUUUGAAUCUCCUUCAACAAAAAAAUAUACUAUUUAUAUAUGAUAAAAAUAAUUUUUUAUAUGGUUAUAGUAGGUGUUAAAUCCUCUUCAAUUUAAAUUUUUUUAAUAUUGAACCCCCUUACUUAAAAUUUUAGCUCCGUCUCUCUCUCUGUAUAGACACACUAAGUUGGACGACUUUAGUUUGUGCUUUUCUUUCUCGUGCUUCUUCUGCUUUAGUACUACCAAAUGCCUCUGCCCCACAAGUUCGGCACAGGCCCUCCUUCUCCAUGACAUUUGGGAUUUAAAUUGAAAUAUAUGUUAAGAGAACUCAGAAUCAAAAUAAGUCAAUAAAUAAUAAAAGUGAUUAAAAUAUAUUAUUUAUUUAAAAUAUUAUUAAAAUAGAUUAAAUAUAAUAAUUUAUUAUAUUUUUCACUUUUUUUAAACGAUUAAUUAACAGAGUUAACUAUUUUAAAAAUGUAAAAAUUUAUUAUGUUGUAGUUAUUUAUUUAUAAAACAUAACAAUUUCUUACGUUUUAUCAAAAAAAUAAGUAAAAUGUAAGAAAUUUUUAUGUUUUACAUGAAACUCAAGAUAAGAGAAAGACAAUGAUUUGUGAAAUUAGUAAUAAAAGUUAUUUUUUAAAAAAUUAUCCUAAAACGUCAGAAUUUCUUGUUAGGAUUUUUGCCCUGAUUUUCUUACUAUAUUUAAGUUUUAUUUUUUCUUAGAAGGAAAAUAAAAGUUACCAUAAUUAUUUUUACUUUUCCUGAAAAAAAAUAUAAAACUUUUUCAUAUUUGGCAAACCUCUUUCUUAGUGGAAAUGUUUUGAAACUUUAUAAAUAAAUGACCCCCUUCUCAUGUCAUAACACAAUAGAAUCUACAAUGUAUUCUUUAAAGAGUAUUUGUUUAGGGGGAGAUUUUCUCUAUCAUUAAUUUUUAUGUUUUUAUAUUUGGUUUUAUAUGUAGGUCAAUUGGUCAAAUAAUAUAAUAAUAUUAAAUUUUUUAGUAUUGUUUUAUAUGUCUUCUGAAUUGUCACCGUAAUGAUUUGCAACUAACAGCUUUCGCAUAACGCCCUUACGAUUUCGAACCCAACAUUUCUUACGUGUUUUACUUUUUGCAGCAAAAAAGUGGUCUCCAUCCCCCCACUUUUUCCACUCUCUCUUAACUUGGACCAAGGAAUUAAGUAAAAUAUAUUCACCAACUUUACAUACUGAUUUUCUUGCAAAAUGACAUUGGUAUAAAUUGAUUGGGGUUUUGGUGUUCUU